UGAGGGGUGCAAGCGUUAAUCGGAAUUACUGGGCGUAAAGCGAGUGUAGGCGGCUACUUAAGUCGGGAUGUGAAAUCCCCGGGCUCAACCUGGGAAUUGCAUUCGAAACUGAGUGGCUAGAGUUUGGUAGAGGUAAGUGGAAUUCCGGGUGUAGCGGUGAAAUGCGUAGAUAUCCGGAGGAACAUCAGUGGCGAAGGCGGCUUACUGGACCAAAACUGACGCUGAGGCUCGAAAGCGUGGGGAGCAAACAGGAUUAGAUACCCUGGUAGUCCACGCCCUAAACGAUGUCAACUAGACGUUGGGUUCAUUAAGGAACUUAGUGUCGAAGCUAACGCGUUAAGUUGACCGCCUGGGGAGUACGGCCGCAAGGUUG
RNAcentral lists this ribosomal RNA (373 nucleotides) under uncultured organism. Its description in RNAcentral is "partial 16S ribosomal RNA". It matches the Rfam family "Bacterial small subunit ribosomal RNA", at positions 526 to 896 of the family's 1533-position model. The record is from RNAcentral.